GCAAUAAGGUUAAUUAUAUCAAUCGUGGCACUCACAGUCUGUGCAGAUUUUCUUUGAGAAAAAAGGAAAUGCCAAUUUGCCAGAAGGUGCAAAUUGUUCAUGUAUGGCAUGCCUCUUAUGCUGUGUAUAAAAGCCAGGGCAGAAGGCGACACAACUGCAAACUGACCCGGCAAUCACAGCCACUGCAAACAUGUUGACAGUAUUGGCUCUGAUGACACUUCUGAUGGUCUCGGUUGAGUCGGACCUCUCAAAUGAAGAGUGGAAGUCUCUGAGUAACCCACAGAGCAGGACCCUGUUUUUCCGAAUCCUGCAGUCAUAUCUUGAAGACAGAGAGAGUGAAGUUCAAGCGAUGAACAGGAAAACAAACAUGAAGGAAAACAAAAACAGCAAUAUAGAAAAUACUGGUUAUGACAAGUACGAGCUCUAUCGUCACAAUGACAUUUAUGAUGUUUAAUUGAGGAUUUCAUUUUUAACAUGCAAAUCAGGUAUUAGGUCUAAUAGUUUGAGAAAUGUUCAAGUCAUUAUGUCUGCAAUGAUGUUUUGCAUAGUAAAAUUGAAACACUUGCUGGACAAAUUUCUGCCUGUUUUUCUUUAUAUAUUUCUCAUUUAUAGU
Molecule: long non-coding RNA, 613 nt
Organism: Cyprinus carpio carpio
Lineage: Eukaryota; Metazoa; Chordata; Actinopteri; Cypriniformes; Cyprinidae
Source: Ensembl